CUUCCCCACAGCCGCCCCUGUGAUGGAACAUUUGAGGGUACAUCUGCCCAGGCCUCUCUGUUGCUGAACGGCCUGGAAUGGCUCCCUAUUGCCCUUGGGAGCCGGCUCAGGUGUCUCUCCCUCCAGGAAGUGGGGCUUGUGCCCUUUGGAUACCUGCACUCCCCAUCACCGCACUCCCCAUCGUGGCACUUCCCUUGUUGCAGUUUUAUGGAGUGUGCGUCUGGCUCUCCAACUAGACUUGAACCGCUUGAGUGCAUAACUCGGGACUUGACCAUUUGCGUCUCCCUACGGCCAGCUCAGCCUCCGCACACAGGGACCUGCAGAGAGUGGAUGUAGCCACUGCCCCAGCGUCCCUGGGCUCUGAAGAGAAGCCAUUGCCCUUCAAGAGCCACCCUCAUUUCCUGGGCACUGGUUGGAAAAAACGAAGAAAAAGAGACACCCAGCUCACCUCCAAGUUUGCCUGCAGACUUCCUGCUCCAUGUUUCUGCCUUGUAUUUGUCCUGGAGAGCUCGCUCAGUCUGGAUCCUGCUGGAUUUGUCCCCGGGGUGGUGUGUGACUGCAUCUGUGCUCCCUGUAUGUCCUGUAGAUUGGCAUUUGGUGGAGAGGCUUGAUCAGAUUCAGAUUGUCCAGUGCCUUCAGAUUGGAACAGGUAGAAGAUUCUCCUCCACGUGGAGUGGGAAGUCGGCAGGUAUCAUCUCCACUGCUUCACAAGAUGCUUUUUCCCAGAGAGGCAAAAACGCCCGUGAGGGUGACCCGGCUGGGAGGCAAACCCUGUCCUGCCCCCAGCUCUUGGCACUGUAACUUUCUUUCUGCCCCUGCACCCAGAAAUGCUCAUCUGUGUCUACCUCCGGGAACUCAGCAGCCUGGAUGCUGCAUGAGACCCUGAGGGACUGCAGUACCAUCUUCCCAGUUUGUCGACAGGCACGUUGAGGCAGGUACUGGGAUCAGGCUUGGGCAAAUGAGCCUCUGAGAGGGUGGAUCCUUCACUUACGAAUGAGGUCCUUCUUUCCAUAGGAGCAGGAAAAAGGCCGUUUGUCGUAAGGGUCACUGCUGUUACUGGUCACCUCUGGGUGCGAGUCCUGGGCUAAUCGCAUAUCUUGCGGGACCCUGACAACUCCCCCAUUUAUCAGAUGAGGCAAAGCAAGGCUCAGUCACUUGCACAACGCAUAUCGCUAGUAAGCGUUGCUGGUGGGAUCACACUCAGCACUUCAUAGGCAAAGAAAAUCCCAGGAGUGCCGAGGAAACGCUGUCAAGAUGUCAAAAAUACGCGGAAAGGGAAAAAAGGAAUUGCUACGGAAAGAGAGGUGGGAGAGGAACCCAGUCAAUUUCACCUGCUCCCCUUCCUCCAGGAAGAAUCGGAACCGAAAGCUUAAUAAGUGUGGUUGUUUUGAUAUUCGAAUCAUGAGACCCAAGGCAUCGUAGGGGACCUCGCCUGCAUCCAUUCGCCUAUCCAUCCUACAGCAGCGACUGCACCCCUGAUUGUGAUGACGAAUGCACCCCCAUCCUUGGGCUCCGUGCCCACUGCUGGGCUGGGCUGCUCCCUCAGGUGCGGCAGCCAGAGGAGGUGUGGACUCCCAUCCCACGCGUUUAUCCUCCUGCAGCCUCUCGAGCUUGGUGGCAUAGCCGUCCUUCCAGUCCCCAAGCCAGAUGUCCUUGAUGCCCCUUCUCCCAGCCCCAUCCCCAUCGCCAGUUGUAUCAGUUUUCUAUUGCUACUGUAACAACUCACUACAAAUUGAGUGGCUUAAAACAACACACAUCUACUCUCUUACAGUUCUAUAGGUCAGAAAUCUGACAUGGUCUCAGAGGGCUAAAUUCAAGGUGUCUGCAGGACAGUGUUCCUGCUGGAGGCUCUUGAGGGAGAAUCGGUUUCCUUGCCUUUUCCAAGUAUAGAGGCCGCCCACAUUGGCCCCCUUCCGUCUUCAAAGCCAGCAAUAGCUCCGAGUCUUUCCUCCCUAGCAUCGCUGUGACGCUGACUCUCCUGCCUCCCUCUUCCACAUUUAAGAACCUUGUGAUUACAUUGGUCCUCCCAGAUAAUCCAGAAUAAUCUCCCCAUCGCAAAAUCAGCUGAUUAGCAACCUCAAUUCCACCUGCAACCUUAAUUCUCCCCUGUCAUGAAAUAUAAGAAGGAGAUCCAUAUGUUCCGGGGAUUGGGAUGCAGACAUUUUGGAGGCAUUGUUCUGCCGACCACGCCAUCCUGACAGUUUUACCUCUGGAAUCUCUGCAGUCCACCUCCGCCUCGCCAUUCCUGCACCACUCCCUUUCUGGUUACCCGCUAUUUUCCCAAGAUGCCUUCAGUAGCACCUAUCCACUGUUGUCAUCUCUCUAACCUCCCUCUGUCCACAGUCCCCUGGGCCCCCACUCCAAGACAAAGAUGCAGAUGUCGCUACUUCCAUGGCACUGUCAUCUGCAAGGGAGCAUCCUAACUCUCCUUGGGCACACACAGGCCCUCAACCUGCCCUACCCCAUUGGUUCCUCCGGAUCCAUGACCCCUCCCACCCUCCGCCUCACACCCCUGUGCUCCCUUAAUAGUAAAUCACUUCUGGUUCUCUUAAGAUCCUGGGGCAUUUGGUUCUUCCUGGCCUUGGCCUGUGUGGCUCCCAUUCUCUGAACUGUCCUGCCCACCUUUAUUCGCCUCCCCCAGGAAGCCUCCCUGACCCCCCAGACCCUUUCAUUGCCCUCCCUUGGAACAGAAAUGUGCUUUUCACUGACUGGAUUGGCCCAAAGAGAUCUGAACUUGAGGCUGCCUCCUCAUGUCACUGAGAGCCCUCUGGGGUGGGCACUGUGCCUUGCUUGCCUCUUUGGUCAUAGUGCCCAGCAUGAGAUUGGUCACAUAGUAGGUGCUCAAUGAACUCAGAUUGAACUAAACUCAAGGACUUGGUCGGGGGGUGGUGGUGGUGAGAAGACCAGCUGGGCUGCUUGGGGAAGUAAAGUAUAAAGUUGGAUGGAAAAGCACGAGGACCUUGGCUCUAUUUCUGGUUCUUGGGGUGGAAUAAUAAUGACAGCAACACCAAUGGUGGCUGGCCCCAAAGGUCGUCCCGUGCCAGGCAUAGGCUAAGUGCUUUAUGAGAACAUUAUCAAUCAAUUCCCACAACAGCCUUAAGAGGUACCAACUUUAUCAGCAUCCCCAUUUUAGAGAUGAGGGCCCUGAGGCUGGGCCAGGAAGUUAUCUUGAUCUUGGCUGUCCCUGAUUGGAGGGGUGGUGGGAGUUGGGGACGGGCGGCUCUGGCAGAGACCUGCAGGGAGGUUGCAGCUGGCCUGGCCUCUGGAAACAGCCACCUUAAUGCUCUGCCCUGAAGCCUCUUUUUUUUUUUUUUUUUUUUUUUUUGAGACAGAGUCUCGCUCUGUCACCUAGGCUGGAGUCCAGUGGCAUGAUCUCAGCUCACCGCAACCUCCACCUCCCAGGUUCAAACGAUUCUUCUGCCUCAGCCUCCCAAGUAGCUGGGACUACAGGCACAUGCCACCACACCCGGCUAAUUUUUGUAUUUUUAGUAGAGUUGGGGUUUCACUAUGUUAGCCAGGAUGGUCUCGAUCUCCUGACCUCGUGGUCUGCCCCCGCCUUGACCUCCCAAAGUGCUGGGAUUACAGGCGUGAGCCACCGCGUCCAGCCCCCCAAGCCUCUUCUUUCCUCACUUCCUGUUCUCUGUCCUCAUUAUUCCACCAGUCUAUUGUCAUUUUUUUCCCCUUCCCAGCCUGCCCAGCCAGGAUAUGCGGCAGGAGGUUCAUUUUUGAAAGUAUAAGAAGGGCCGCCGGGAAUGAGUGUCUCACGGGGACAGAGUGUGCGUUUGGGAAGAUGAGACGGUUGUGGAGAU
RNAcentral lists this long non-coding RNA (3809 nucleotides) under Homo sapiens (human). RNAcentral describes it as "non-protein coding lnc-PTPA-1:4". Lineage: Eukaryota; Metazoa; Chordata; Mammalia; Primates; Hominidae. The record is from RNAcentral.